UUAAGUUCAGCGGGUAUUCCUACCUGAUCCGAGGUCAACCUUGUAAAUAAAUUCUCCCUGAGGGGAGGCAGACCGUGCCCCGCGCACCCUUGAUCCAGUACGUGUCCCGUGAAGAACUCAGUGUACCGGGGGUCCAACGAGGCCGCCGUCAUUGUCUUUGGGAGGGGCGAGAGCCCCAGAGGGACCUUCGCCGACCGUCC
This 200-nucleotide unclassified non-coding RNA is filed under the name Veronaea sp. Its description in RNAcentral is "partial internal transcribed spacer 2". The record is from RNAcentral. Lineage: Eukaryota; Fungi; Ascomycota; Eurotiomycetes; Chaetothyriales; Herpotrichiellaceae.